This is a long non-coding RNA of Dermacentor albipictus, 1342 nucleotides long. RefSeq lists it as uncharacterized. NCBI's taxonomy places the organism in Eukaryota, Metazoa, Arthropoda, Arachnida, Ixodida, Ixodidae. The record is from RefSeq and is a predicted model, not a curated record.
GAGUCUGCAGCUGUCGCCACAGAACUUCACACCGCCACUCAUGGGAUUUGCCCAUGAAUGGCGGAAAGGUUAAACGGUCUACUCGGUAGUGUGUGCAGAUGUCGUGGUAGGUAAUAAGUCUAUCCCGCGCUGUAAACGGCGCCUCCUCCGUGGCGAGUUCCGACACAUUUGAUGCCUGAGCCCGGACUGCAUUUCUCGCUCACGGCGCAGUGUGAACAGGACUGUGGGCCGUGUACUUCAUAGAGUCCGGUGCCGAGUAUUGCGGAAUCUCGCGAAAGUAGUGAGACUAUACCAGUAAGGGAUCUACCCACAAUACCCGCCUACUUUUGCAAAACGACGAAAGCAAAAAACUAACGGCACACUAUAAAUUGUGGGCACAAGCGAGGUUACUUGUCCUGCCUUUUCAUUUACUAGAUUGCACCCGGCACUGUAAUACGCGAGGGAGACGCCAAUAGAAGUAUUGAUGUCUUUCUCUCCAGAACAAAAAUGAGCCGGUUAUUAAGAAAUUCAUCUCGGAGAACUCAAGACUGUUGAUAAACUGCAAUUUUCGAUAGGUCAUAACAGCGUUUGACGGUGCUCAGAGUAGAAGUCCAAGGCUUCGCGUCCACAUCUCUAUCUCCGUGUUUCUCACAUACGCGUGCCAUGUUUUUCUUUCCUUUUUCAAUGGUGCCGUGAACGAGCGGCACGAGAUCAACCUCAUCAUGUCAGACACCCAUCUGUCAAGCAAAGACGAUGCUGGUAUUUCCUGCAUCGCCACCAGGACCAGCGUGGGAGGCAGCACGGUGGCCGACUAUAAUAGCCAGGCCAGCAAGUGGCCACCUGUUCUCUUGCAGCUUGGUGCACUUUUAUCGGCGCUGUGGACCUUGUGGCCAGCUCUCACAGCAGUUUGGUGCCUUGCUUCCCGCACUACGGAACUGCCGGGCAGCUGUUAUAGAGGCCUGGCAACUUGACCGCCCUGUGGACCAGGUGGCCAGCUGUUCUAGAGGCCUGCUAUCAUGCUGGCCGCUCUGUGCACUUGGUGGCAAAAUCUUCUAGCUGCCUACUGUGUUGCUGCCCGACGUGCGGACCUUGUUGCUGGCUGUUCUAGAGGCCUGCAUGUGGAUGGCAGUUCUUGCGGCCUGGUGUCUUUCUGCUUGCCCUGCGGACCAAGUGGAUGGCAGUCCUGGCGGCCUGGUGUAUUGCUGCCCCUGCCCGGUCAACCUGAUGGCCAGCUGUUCUAGCGACCUAGUAUGCUGCUGAUCAAAAGAUUGGCGGCAUGAUACAAAAUCACAGGAGGCAAAACUCUUUCUUCCUAUACCAAUUUCUUUAUAGACACGACUAGUUUCGCCAAGUUAUGCCCAAC